GACGAACCGUGCGAACGUUGUUCGGAAUCACUGGGCUUAAAGGGCGCGUAGGCGGGCUGACAAGUCUGGGGUGAAAUGCCGCGGCUCAACCGUGGAACUGCCUCAGAUACUGUCGGCCUCGAGGGAGGUAGGGGCGUGCGGAACUGUAGGUGGAGCGGUGAAAUGCGUUGAUAUCUACAGGAACUCCGGUGGCGAAAGCGGCGCGCUGGACCUCUUCUGACGCUGAAGCGCGAAAGCUAGGGGAGCAAACGGG
RNAcentral lists this ribosomal RNA (253 nucleotides) under uncultured bacterium. RNAcentral's name for it is "partial 16S ribosomal RNA". It matches the Rfam family "Bacterial small subunit ribosomal RNA", at positions 524 to 776 of the family's 1533-position model. The record is from RNAcentral.